GGGGAGGGGCAGAAAGAGAGGGAGACACAGAAUCUGAAGCAGGCUCCAGGGUCCGAGCCGUCAGCACAAAGCCUGAAGUGGGGCUCAAACCCAUGAGCAGUGAGAUCAUGACCUGAGCUGAAGUCAGAGGCUUAGCCGACUGAGCCACCCAGGCGCCCUGCGCAAUACAGUAUUUUAAAAUUAAGGCAUAUGUAUUGCCUCUUUAGACAUAAUGCUGUCAUUGCACACUUACUAGACUACAGUACAGUGUGAACAUAACUCUUAUAUGCCCUAGGAAACCAAAAGAUUCAUCUGACUCACUUUAUUGUAAUAUUUACUUUAUUGCUGUGGCCUAGGACUGAACUAGCAAUGCCUCCAGGGUGCGCCUGUAUAAAAAGAAGCCAGUAAUUUUGGAUUUAGGGGAUGCAGUGAGAAGUUUUGCGAUGGGUUGACAGCUGAGCCAUAUCUUGAAGCAUCAGAAGCUUUCUAAUUAUGAAAACAUGAGGGAAGGACAUUCUAGCCCGAGAGCACAGCCUAAGUGAAGAGUGGAAAUGGCAUCCACUUGAGGAAUAUUCUAGAAAUUUGACUAUAGUUGGAAUAUAGUUUACGGGGUAUGUGUAUGGAGGGGGAGGAUGCAAUGAAACAUGAGGCCAAAAAGAGGAGGAAUCCUGAUAGCCAUGUGGAGGAUGUGCUAUGUGGGGCUGAGAAGAAAGGCAGGGAGAUUGUUUAGAAAGCAAGAGAUGAUAGGAGUCUGAACUAAGGCAGGGGGGUGAAACGUCCCUGACUGGACAGGAUGGUAGAAGAGAGGAAAUAAAACAGACUGGCAGGUGCACAUGUUGAUUGAUUGCAUCAACAGACUUUACUGAGCACUUGCCACAUGCCAGUCACUGUGUGCAACUGAAAAGACGAAGAUGAAGAGACAGUGUCCCUGGUCUUGAGGGCUUACCACCAAUUAGCCCUCAGCCAUGUCCCAUAUGCCUGUGAUGCAUGAACUACAAGAGGGGGCUAUCCAAUGUGGAGGCUGUUGGAGGAGGUGGAGGGACAUUUAACUUAGGUCUUUUUCUUUUAACUUUAUUUAUUUAUUUUGAGAGAGAAAGAGAGAGCAGCAGAGAGAGAGAGAGAGAGAGAGAGAGAGAGACAGAAAAUCCCAAGCAGACUCUGUACUGUCAGUGCAGAACCCAAUGUGGGGCUCGAACUCACAAACUGUGAGAUCAUGAUCUGAGCCAAAAUCAAGAAUCAGACGUUUAACAGACUGAGUCACCCAGGUGCCCCAGGCAUCCCUUACUUUAGAUUUUGGUCAGAGUAACAAGAUGUAAGAGAGUACUCAGAAAGCAGUGUGCUAAUGAAUAAACAACCGAUUACUAUAUGAGAUCACAUAGCUAUUCUUUUCCUUCUAAAUACACUUUUAUCCAUUUCUUUGUAUUCAAUGCAAGCAAAAUGGCAACAGUCAAGGUUUCUUGGCUGCCUAUUAAUACGCAGUAAUGGUCUAGAAUAAGUUAACUGGAUCUCGCAUUUUCCCAAUUUUCACUCACUAAAGCUUUCUUUUAUUAGAUUUAGGUAUCAUUAAUUUCUUCAUUGAGAAAAUUACUCUGCAGAGGGUUGGGUGGAAGGAGGUAUGCCGUUGGGCCUCGUUAGACUGUGGGAUGGCAUUAGAGGGUCCGAUGGCUUGAACUAUCCCUAGUGGAAUGAGCCAAACUGAGCUGGGAGGGGGUGGGAGUUGUUUGAGGGGACCUGGGGAUAUUGUAGAUACAGAUGGAUGAUGAACAGAUAGAGGCUGGAUGAGAGCGAGAGAGGCAUUCCUGGUACAGAUGAAGCCACAGAAGGGCAUGAGAUGGAACUGAAGGGGACGUACAGAGCCUCUCGAAAUCUUGAUCCUGCAUUUCCCCCCACGUGUGCUCUCAUGAACUACACUGGAAGCGCCAGACUUUCUUCCUCUGGGAAAGAAAGAGAGAGUGAUUAUGGGGGCCAUCUCAGCAAGUCUGAAAUCAGUAGGGCAGGCAGUCAGGAACAGAAGAUCAUGGGCAGGCUUAAAUCCACAAACAAGAGCUGAAGCUGUCACCCACCAGUAGACAGGAAGGGGACAUCAGGAGCAGGAUGGAACUCCAUAGGCGCUAGCCAGAGCUGUGGUCCACAGGGGGACCUUCUUCUCGCUGAGCCCACAUGUUCUGUGAAGACAUGACGUGUGGGGCAUGUAUGUGGUAGGAGUGGGGGGAAACCCUGGACCAGACGUCAGGAGACCUGGGCUUGGACCACCUCCAGUUUCCUGUAGCAUUAAUGGUAGAUUCAAUGGUAGAUCCUUUCAACAAAGUUUGUAAGUCCGAGAAUUCGGUAUAACUUGAACUUAGGUAUUUUUUCUCUGUCUGAAAGUGCCAGGGCCCCUCUGAAGGACAGCUGAUAUUUUUGAGAAUAGUCACUGUAGGAGGAGAGAAAGCAAAAUUUCAAGGUUCAUGAGUUGAGGCUUAUCCAUAGACAUGGUCCUGGGAGUCAGGGAGUUGUCAGGGGGAAGAAAGUAGAGGAGCAGGGUCAGAACUAGGAUGAGGCUGUAUUUGAAUCACCAUGGUAAAAAUAGAGAUCCCAGGGCCUUCGUGCAGAGGGGUGUCACGCUUCAGCUGGUUUUCAGAUGGCACACCCUAUGGCACAAAAUUUAAGGAGGCAUCACUCUUAGAGUAGUCAGGUACUAACACUCCACUUGCUAGUGACUACCUCCUUACACUUUGCACCGUAGGCUCCUGCUGCCUUACCCUGGUGGUGGUAUUCUGUCCAAACCAGGGAAACAGCCAGGGCCCUCAGAAUAGCUCAUCUGGGAUGGAAGGAGUAGCAGAGAGAAAGAGAAGGGAGCCUUCUUAGGUAGCAGAGCAGAGAAGGAUGGCCAGGAAGAGGCCGGUCUCAGUGUAAUCUAAAACCCACGCUUUUUUUUUUCAGUUUUAUGGAGACUUAUGAUUGAUAAACUUGUGAUUGUAAAAUUAAAGUGUGCAUCUUAAUGAUGUUGAUGUCUAUGUGCAUUGUGAAAGGGUUCCUCUCGUCGAGUUUAUUAACACAUCUAUCACCUGUUUUAGACAUAUUUGUUUACUUACUUGUAGACAUAUUUGUUUACUUACUUUUUGGUGAGAACAUUUAAGUUAUAUACUCUUAGCAAAAUCUAAUCAUACGUUGCAGUGUUAUAAACUACAGUCACCGUAUUAUAACUUACAUGAGUUGUAAGGUGAACAGGAUGCUCAGGCCUUCCAUGGAAGGAACUUGGAAGCGAGCUCCAUUGCUCUGUGUGUAGCUGUAGGUUUGCUGUGUCUGUGGAAAGAAGUGAGUUCAGGAGCUUUUUGUAUAUCAUCAUCUUGAACCAGAACCCCUUUAUUGAUUGCUUCCCUACCCCCUGAAUAUGGGCCAUACUUUCUUAUUUUGUGUGUGUGUGUGUGUGUGUGUGUGUGUGUGCGCGCCUCACCAUUUGUUGUUGGAAACUGGAUUUUAAAUGAUAUAAUACAUCAACUCUGGAAAUCAGAUUCUCCCUCUUCCCUGGUGUUUAUUGUUGUUGAUGUUGUUUGUUUAGUGACUUUUCUGAACGAAUUCUGUAAUGUCUAUGUAUUCUUUGUCAUGUGUGGCCACUGAAGUCUCUGCUCAGUCAGCUUAGUGGUCAGCUAAAGAUUGGACAGAGAUUUGCUUUAGAUGCCUAGAACCAAUAAGUCUCUCAGUCUGUGCAGAGGCUCUAGGGGCAUGUUGGGGCAGGCCUUCAACAAUCAGCCAGGAAGUUUACAACUCUGCCUUAGCCUUCACUUCCUACUUUUUUAGAGCAUCAAGGUUAGCCAGAGACGAAAGCUUAGGACCUUCCUGAAGUCUUUCCUAAAUAAGUACACAGCCCUGGGUAUGUGCACAUUCCUAUGCAUAUGCAUGCUUUCUAGAUUCUCUGGAAUAUUUCAAAAUCCCCUUAUGGACACCUUAUUCCCCAGCUUUUUAUUUUAAGGUUUUUGAUUAGCUUAUUGUUUGCCCCAACUGUUAUCCAUUGCCUCAGGCAGCCAUAAAGGCCCACAAUUGUCUUUGAUUGUUUUCAACAGACCUCCUUAGGGAAAAAGCUCUUCAUCCUGGGCAAGCUCAGAGUCCAGUCAAAGUAAGAUGGCCUUGCAAAAGGGAUCUUCCAGACAGUUCAAAUAAUGACUGCUCUCUGGAAAUGAGGCUUUUUGAAGGAGCUCCAACCCUCUUCUACCUCUGACUACCAAGCUGCUGAUUUUCCCUGUGAUCAUGGGAUGUUGGUUCCUAAGGCUACUUCAGCGCUGGAGAGAGGGUGAUGGAAUUAGAGCAAAUUAAAAUGCCAUAAAGCAGGGCGCCUGGGCGGCUCAGUCGGUUAAGCGUCUGACUUUGGCUCAGGUCAUGAUCUCACGUUUUGUGGGUUCGAACGCCACGUCGGGCUCUGUGCUGACAACUCAGAGCCUGGAGCCUGCGUUGGAUUCUGUGUCUCCAUCUCUCCCUGCCCCUCCCCUGCUCACACUCUGUCUCUCUCUGUCUGUCUCUCUUUCUCAAAAGUAAAUAAACAUUAAAAUGCCAUAAAGGCUCACUGUUCUUACAAAGAUUGUGUCCUUUUUCUUGAAUAAACACUUUCCAUAUUAAGCUCUUGGUUAAUUUCCAGACUUUUGAGGAAGUUGAUUCUGAUAAUUUUUUGUCAGUUUUCUCCUUGCUUUUGUGAAGAAGAGAAUUUUCAGAGGGCUUUACUCUGGCAUUUUCACUGACAUCACCUGUAACAUAUUUGAAAUGCCCUUCCCUGUGAUUGCCUUCUCAUUUCUUAAAACACAGCUCAAAUGUCUCCUCUAUUAUAAAGCCUUUUCUGUGUCCUCUGGGCAAAGGACUCGGUUAUUUCUUUAUCUUCCUAUACAUCUAUGUUGAUGCCCCUGUUAUUUCACUUUUCACAAAUAAUUAUUUACACCUGUUCCUGUGUCUUCCCUCAGCCUGCAGUUUCCUAGUUUGUGACGUAUUCAUUCUCCAUGCCCAAACUAAUUCCAGACACAGUAACUAUUCAUCUAUGUAGGCAGAGGGGUAUUUGUUUUAGGGGAUCUCAGAGCCUAGCCAGGGAAUUCUCAGCUCCCACCAACAGUUCUUUCCUCCUCCUUCUGUGAUUCAUAGCUGACCUCUGUCUCUUCAUUGUAUUAGAAGUGUGGGGUGCUGUGUGUGAUUACCAUAAGCUCAGAGUUGACACACUGAAUGUAAGAGGAAAAUAGCAAAAAUAAAGGCUGUGUGGAUGAGGUUCAACAGUAAUAAUCAUAAUAGUGAUAGCAGCUAAUAGUUACUGAGUAGAUUCUCUGCUAGAUAUCAGGCUAGGAGCUUUACAUUCAGUAUCUCCUUCAUUUCCAACAUCAGUCCCAUGAGGUGGGUACUAUUCCUUAUUUUGCAGGUGAGACAGUAAGGGAAGUGGCAGAUCUGGGGUUAGGUGAAAGCCCGUAUUCCUAACUGUUCUAUCUGAGGGGUCCGUGGGAAGCAUUUGGAACAGGGGAAGCCACACAAGUCUUUUUUCUUCCUUGGGACCUGUUCUGCCUCUCUGAAGAGCUGUGGUUCCCAGGCGUGCUCAGCUCAGCCAGGCCGCUUUGUGCUUUGAAGCAAGAUAGCACUGGGGGCUCCUGUAGUAACUGGUCCCCAGGGCAGCUGGGGGGAGAGACCCCAUUUCCUCAGCAUUGGGGCAACAGGUGUAGCCCUGAGGAGAGAAACGACUAAGAUUCCUCAUUAUCAUCCCAAUUCCAACAUGGUGACAGCCCCACACUGCUGGGAAAGCCAACCCACACAGAGAUGAGAUGUAAUCCAGAGGGCUCAGAAACAUUUCAACAAAUGCUAAUAUCAGUCUUUCCAAUACAGCCCUGUCAGCAGGAAGGGGGAAUGUGCUAGCAUGCAUGGGGCACACUGUUUGGCGCAAGGGACCUGGUUGCUAAGCAACAGUAGCUGGCCUCCCCUCCUCCCUAUAACCUUUUUCUCUGUUUCUAAGCUUCUAGUUAGCAGAUGGGAGGGCCUGAGGCUGCCCAGCCCAGCCCAGCCCUUGGCCCCUUUCCCUGCAACAAGGGGUCUAUUCAUGGUUUCUGAGCAGAUUUAUUGUCUCUUUGGCACGCGCGUGCACGCACGUGUGUGUGUGUGUGUGUGUGUGUGUGUAGUGGGGGGAGGAUAAAGGGAGGGGCCCUAUGUGAACUAGGGAAACCUCACCCUCCAACCAAGCUGGCUGGGCUAUUUAAUCAAUGCUGAUCCAAGAACAGGAGCAGAACCCUGACUAGCAGACCCUGAGGCUUUACAUUGGUGCCACUGACCCAAAUGAGCCCGAUGCCGGAUGGCCAAGCCCACAUGGAGCCUCAGUAUGCAGAGGAGGGUCCAGGACCUGGGAUCUUCAGAGCAGAGCCAGGAGACCCACUGAGGAGGCCUGAGGCCCAGCAGCAGCCCACCUCUCAGGCGGGGCGCUGGUGCUCAAGGCGGCGCGGAUGCGUGGGGCUGGGCGCCCUGGCGCUGCUGGCUGGUGCGAGCGUCGGCUCAUGGCUUCUCGUGCUGUAUCUGUGGCCAGCCACCUCUCAGCCAUCUCCUGGGAACUUGCAGGAUGAGGAGAUGCCUUUGAGCUGCUCAGAGGCCAGUGGUGAGGAAGCCCUGCUCCCUUCGCUUCCCAGAACAGUAUCUUUCAGAAUCAACCCUGAGGGCUUCUUGCUGGCAGUACAGGUGAGGGCUCGGCCAGACUGGCUCCUGGUCUGCCACGAGGGCUGGAGCUCUGCCCUGGGGCUGCGGAUCUGCCAGAGCCUGGGACAUCUCAGACUCACUCACUACAAGGGAGUGAACCUGUCUGACAUCCAGCUCAACAGCUCCCAGGGGUUUGCUCAGCUUUCUCCAGGACUGGGAGGCUUCCUGGAGGAGAUGUGGCAGCCCAGGGACAGCUGCGCUUCUGGUCAAAUCGUUUCCCUCAGAUGCUCUGAGUGUGGGACGAGGCCCCUGGCUUCCCGGAUAGUUGGCGGGCAGGCCGUGGCUCCCGGGCGCUGGCCCUGGCAGGCCAGUGUGGCCCUGGGCUCCCGGCACACGUGUGGGGGCUCUGUGCUGGCCCCACGCUGGGUGAUGACGGCUGCACACUGCAUGCACAGUUUUAGGCUGUCCCGGCUGUCCAGCUGGCGGGUGUACACGGGGCUGGUGAGCCACAGUGCCGUCAGGCCGCACCAAGGGGCUGUGGUGGAGAGGCUCAUCCCUCACCCCCUCUACAGCACCCAGAAUCACGACUACGAUGUCGCCCUCCUCCAGCUCCGGACACCGCUCAACUUCUCAGACACCGUGGGUGCUGUGUGCCUGCCAGCUGAGAAGCAAGAUUUCCCAAGGGGCUCACAGUGCUGGGUGUCUGGCUGGGGCCACACCGACCCCAGCCACACCCACAGCUCAGACACGCUGCAGGACACGGUGGUGCCCCUGCUGGGCACCCAGCUCUGCAACAGCUCCUGCAUGUACAGCGGGGCCCUUACCCCCCGCAUGCUGUGUGCCGGCUACGUGGACGGGAGGGCCGACGCGUGCCAGGGUGACAGCGGGGGCCCCCUGGUGUGCCUGGACGGGGGCACGUGGCACUUGGUGGGGGUGGUCAGCUGGGGCCGCGGCUGCGCGGAGCCCAAUCACCCUGGCGUCUAUGCCAAGGUUGCCGAGUUCCUGGACUGGAUCCAUGACACUGCGAGGGCCCGCCAGAUGGAGGAGGAGCUGCAGACCCAGGUGCAGAAGGCACGGACCUCCUUUCGCACAAGACAGUCAUCGCCCACAGGCCAGCCUCCGGGUCCGGGCCUCUCCUCUCGGGCCCUGGUUUUGAGUCCCUCUUUCUCACCAGGGAGCCUCAGUAACAGGAGAGCUGAUGGGGCUGGGCUGGAAAAGUGGGGGGAGGGGCGGGGGAGGAAGAUGCUGCUGGCGGCAGCUGGGCACCCGCCCUCCCCCCUCUGCCCUUCCCUGCACGCAUCUUUUGGGAGGAUGCUCGGGGAUGCCCUGGGACCGCUUUCUCCAUGUCUCUCAGGCAAGGAAAGUGCCUCCUUAGAGGAGCCCCUGGCCCCGAGGCUUCUGGGCAGAUGGGGUCAAGGCUGGGCAAGCCCAUGCAGUCAGGAUCCUCCCCACUCUGCGUGUUCUCAAGUGGCUGUGGCUGACCCGACGGGGCAGGGUCGGGGACAUGUAAGAAUGCUCUGGUUGGCCUUCAGUUAGGACUUUGCUUUUAUAACGACAGUUCUGUGAACUGGUUCAAGGACUGCUGUCUUGGAGUGAAGUGAUAUAGGGUCUCAGUCCCUCAUUUUCUCUUGCUCUCUGUGUCUCUCUUUCUCUCGUACACACACACUCUCUAUCUGUGUCUCUGUCUCUGUCUGUCUCUCUUUCACACACACACUCUUUGUCUCUGUCUCUCUUUCUUUCUCUCUCACACACACACACACGCUAAAAGGAUAGAAGUACAGUUUUCCUCUCAUACAUGUUUCUUAAAUCUCCGGAUCUGACUCCUGCUCCUCUCUCUAGAAUCUGGGCAUUCACUUAUUCAAUUCUUUACAUUUCUUGAAUCUACAUGUCAUAACCUGCAGCAAAGAGCCCCCGCCGUCCAGAUGGGCUGAUGCACAGGUUUGAGGACCUUCCCCCCACCCCAAGUCAGUGCUGUCUUGGGAGACCUCUGUCUCCUUGGCUCCUGUUCCAGCACUGGGCCUUCUGUCUCGGGGAGAUUUCUUUCUGAGUUUAUGCCCAGUUAGCAUUUUCCUGGUUAAGCUUCUCCCCGACUCUCUUCUCUCUAGCAAUUAAAAUGCACUUGGCAUCUUGUUUCUAAAAAGUGCAAUGAAUUUUUUAUGGUGCUUACCCAAGGAAAUGCAAUUAGCGUUUAGCAAUAACAACUUUUUCAUGAAUUUAUCAGCAUUUUUUUGGAGGGGUAGUACAAAUGAAUAUUCAUUCCUGGAGGGUCUGCUCACUUUUGGCAAAGUGCACUAAAAAAUAAGGACCUCGAUUUACUGUCGCUGUAUUACCUGGGAGGGGUUGCUGGGAGUUGGCUCUCACAUUGGAGAAGUGGUGGGGGAGAGACUCUGGCAGGUGACAGACAGCCUCAUCCCCCCCCCCCCCACCACCACCCAGCUCUUAGAUCUCCAUCCUCUUCCCUGAGCUCGAACAUUUACCACCUGACUCUGGUGAGUCCCCAUCUCAAGAGGCAGGUUCAGGGCAGCUGAUCCCCCUGGGCAGGAAAGAGUUACCUGCAAAUCCAUCAACUAUAAUCUUUUCAGUGUUUCUCAUGUCCCUGUGAGUGUUUGCUUAUUUAAAGGGAGGUUUUCCUUUAUCAUAGUCAUUGUAGCUGGUUAAUAAUCAGUAACAUGGGGCUAUUACAGUUUAUCAACACAGCUCACGUGUACCUCAUUGAGAUCUCACACUAGCUAUGCGGUGAAGAUAUUAUUAUUGUGCCCACUUUAUAGGCAAGAAAAUUAGUUUAGAAAGAUGAAGCAUCUCCCCAAGACCAGCCACUAGUAAGCGCCAGUGAACCCUGGAUCUUUUUAUUCCACACCCACAUCACCGUUUGGCACAUGGAUGAACGAGAUGGUCCAGUGUUGCACAGCGUAGACGUGAAAGGUUCUUUAUCACCUAGUGGAGUCACCUGCCUACACAAAUGCAUCGCCAUCCCUGCUUUUUAUAGCACAGAGAAGAGGCUAUAUAGGAGGACACAGUCAGAAGGUGGUCAUCAGCAAGCCAAGAGGGGAAUUCUCACGAGAACCUGACCGUGAUGGCACCUUGAUCUUGGACUUCCAGGCUCCAGAACUACGAGGAAAUUGAG
Molecule: RNA transcript, 9724 nt
Organism: Acinonyx jubatus (cheetah)
Lineage: Eukaryota; Metazoa; Chordata; Mammalia; Carnivora; Felidae
Gene: TMPRSS5
Gene name: transmembrane serine protease 5
Exons: 15
Source: RefSeq, a predicted model, not a curated record